GACGAACGCUGGCGGCGUGCCUAACACAUGCAAGUCGAGCGAAUGAGGUUCCUUCGGGACUGGAUUUAGCGGCGGACGGGUGAGUAACACGUGGGCAACCUGCCUCAUAGAGGGGAAUAGCCUCCCGAAAGGGAGAUUAAUACCGCAUAAGAUUGUAGUACCGCAUGAUACAGCAAUUAAAGGAGCAAUCCGCUAUGAGAUGGGCCCGCGGCGCAUUAGCUAGUUGGUGAGGUAAUGGCUCACCAAGGCGACGAUGCGUAGCCGACCUGAGAGGGUGAUCGGCCACAUUGGGACUGAGACACGGCCCAGACUCCUACGGGAGGCAGCAGUGGGGAAUAUUGCACAAUGGGGGAAACCCUGAUGCAGCAACGCCGCGUGAGUGAUGACGGCCUUCGGGUUGUAAAGCUCUGCCUUCAGGGACGAUAAUGACGGUACCUGAGGAGGAAGCCACGGCUAACUACGUG
RNAcentral lists this ribosomal RNA (464 nucleotides) under uncultured bacterium. Its description in RNAcentral is "partial 16S ribosomal RNA". It matches the Rfam family "Bacterial small subunit ribosomal RNA", at positions 28 to 507 of the family's 1533-position model. The record is from RNAcentral.